RNAcentral lists this ribosomal RNA (351 nucleotides) under uncultured bacterium. RNAcentral describes it as "partial 16S ribosomal RNA". It matches the Rfam family "Bacterial small subunit ribosomal RNA", at positions 338 to 704 of the family's 1533-position model. The record is from RNAcentral.
CCUACGGGCGGCAGCAGUGGGGGAUAUUGCACAAUGGGGGAAACCCUGAUGCAGCGACGCCGCGUGGGCGAAGAAGUAUUUCGGUAUGUAAAGCCCUAUCAGCAGGGAAGAAGAAAUGACGGUACCUGAGUAAGAAGCACCGGCUAAAUACGUGCCAGCAGCCGCGGUAAUACGUAUGGUGCAAGCGUUAUCCGGAUUUACUGGGUGUAAAGGGAGCGCAGGCGGGACGGGAAGCCUGAUGUGAAAGCCCGCGGCCCAACCGCGGGACUGCAUUGGGAACUACCGUGCUGGAGUGCCGGAGAGGUAGGCGUCAUUCCUUGUGUCGCGGUUCACUGCGUAGAUUUUCGGCGG